Molecule: non-coding RNA, 781 nt
Filed under: Ontholestes orientalis
Lineage: Eukaryota; Metazoa; Arthropoda; Insecta; Coleoptera; Staphylinidae
Source: RNAcentral
AUAAAGUUUUAUUCUAGCUUAUUUAAUUGAUUUAUGAAUUUUUUUACAUGUAAAUUUUUGUAUUUAUUUAUUUUAAUUUAGAUAAUUAAAAUAGUUUAAUUUAAACGCAGUAAGAAGUAUUAAAUUUUAAUAAAAAUUAGAUUUAGAAAUUUAUAAGAGUAUUGACAAAAUUUGUGCCAGCAGUUGCGGUUAUACAUAUAAUACAAUUAAUUAAUUUUAGUUUAUAAUUAAUUAGUUAAUAAAAAUAUAAAUUAAAAUUUAUUAAGUGAAAUUUUAAAUUUUAAAAAUUUUUAUUAUAAAUAAUGAAGUUAUUAAAUUUAGUAUUAAACUAGGAUUAGAUACCCUAUUAUUAUAAAUGUAAAUAUAAAAACUUAAUUAGUAUUAGUUAUGUUCUUUAAAGUUAAAGAAUUUGGCGGUAUUUUAGUCUAUUUAGAGGAACCUGUCCUAUAAUCGAUAAUCCACGAUUUAUUAUACUUAUUUUAAUUAGUUUGUAUAUCGUCGUCAUUAGAAUAUUUUAAAAGAAUAAAAAUAUUCAAGAUUCAUAAUUAUGAAAAAAAUCAGAUCAAGGUGCAGCUUAUAAGUAAGAAGAGAUGGGUUACAAUAAAUAUAUUUAUAUGGUAUGAAUUUUGAAAAAUUUCAUUAAAGUGGAUUUAAAAGUAAUAAAGUUUAAUUAAAUUUUAUGAUUUUAGCUCUAGAAUAUGUACAUAUCGCCCGUCGCUCUCAUUUAAAAUGAGAUAAGUCGUAACAUAGUAGAUGUACUGGAAAGUGUAUCUAGUGAGAC